This 218-nucleotide long non-coding RNA is filed under the name Sinocyclocheilus grahami. Its description in RNAcentral is "lncRNA (ENSSGRG00000022193.1)". Lineage: Eukaryota; Metazoa; Chordata; Actinopteri; Cypriniformes; Cyprinidae. The record is from RNAcentral.
CUGCCUGCACAGGAACAUUUUUUGCGGGACCACCUGGGCCACCAGGACCCCCAGGGCCUAAGGGAGUGACAGGUGCCCAAGGUCCAAGAGGAUACCAGGGAGAACCAGGUCAACCUGGCCUUCCAGGUAGUUCCGGUAGAGUUAUCUCUGAAUAUGGUGUGGCUCAAGGUCCAUCUGGUCCCCCAGGACCUCCUGGACCACCCGGACGAGAUGGCCGU